CCUACGGGAGGGCAGCAGUGGGGAAGUAUUGGACAAUGGGCGAAAGCCUGAUCCAGCAAUGCCGCGUGAGUGAUGAAGGCCUUAGGGUCGUAAAGCUCUUUUACCCGGGAUGAUAAUGACAGUACCGGGAGAAUAAGCCCCGGCUAACUCCGUGCCAGCAGCCGCGGUAAUACGGAGGGGGCUAGCGUUGUUCGGAAUUACUGGGCGUAAAGCGUGCGUAGGCGGUUAUUCAAGUCAGAGGUGAAAGCCCGGGGCUCAACCCCGGAACGGCCUUUGAAACUAGGUAGCUAGAAUCUUGGAGAGGUCAGUGGAAUUCCGAGUGUAGAGGUGAAAUUCGUAGAUAUUCGGAAGAACACCAGUGGCGAAGGCGACUGACUGGACAAGUAUUGACGCUGAGGCACGAAAGCGUGGGGAGCAAACAGGAUUAGAUACCCUGGUAGUCCACGCCGUAAACGAUGAUAACUAGCUGUUCGGGUACUUGGUAUCUGAGUGGCGCAGCUAACGCAUUAGUUAUCCGCCUGGGGNGUACGUCGCAGAUAACUACAANANAUAGACGCGNGAGAGCGCGACGACGACGACGAGGAG
RNAcentral lists this ribosomal RNA (585 nucleotides) under uncultured bacterium. RNAcentral's name for it is "bacterial SSU rRNA". It matches the Rfam family "Bacterial small subunit ribosomal RNA", at positions 338 to 944 of the family's 1533-position model. The record is from RNAcentral.